RNAcentral lists this non-coding RNA (21 nucleotides) under Caenorhabditis elegans. The record is from RNAcentral. Lineage: Eukaryota; Metazoa; Nematoda; Chromadorea; Rhabditida; Rhabditidae.
UUGCGAAUUGAUUUUUGCAAG